GACGAACGCUGGCGGCGUGCUUAACACAUGCAAGUCGAACGGAAAGGCCCUGCUUUUGUGGGGUGCUCGAGUGGCGAACGGGUGAGUAACACGUGAGUAACCUGCCCUGGACUUUGGGAUAACUUCAGGAAACUGGGGCUAAUACCGGAUAGGAGCGCCUGCUGCAUGGUGGGGGUUGGAAAGUUUCGGCGGUUGGGGAUGGACUCGCGGCUUAUCAGCUUGUUGGUGGGGUAGUGGCUUACCAAGGCUUUGACGGGUAGCCGGCCUGAGAGGGUGACCGGCGACAUUGGGACUGAGAUACGGACCAGACUCCUACGGGAGGCAGCAGUGGGGAAUAUUGCACAAUGGGCGGAAGCCUGAUGCAGCAACGCCGCGUGCGGGAUGACGGCCUUCGGGGUGUAAACCGCUUUCGCCUGUGACGAAGCGUGAGUGACGGUAAUGGGUAAAGAAGCACCGGCUAACUACGUG
This 468-nucleotide ribosomal RNA is filed under the name uncultured bacterium. RNAcentral's name for it is "partial 16S ribosomal RNA". It matches the Rfam family "Bacterial small subunit ribosomal RNA", at positions 28 to 507 of the family's 1533-position model. The record is from RNAcentral.